AGAGUUUGAUCAUGGCUCAGGAUGAACGCUGGCGGCAUGCCUAAGACAUGCAAGUCGAACGAAGCGGCCCGUUGAAGCAGAGUACUUGUACGAAGUAGAUUCGGAUUUCCGCUUAGUGGCGCAAGGGUGAGUAACACGUGGGUAAUCUACCUCAGAGACUGGGAUAACGGUUGGAAACGAUCGCUAAUACCGGAUUAAAUUUAAGACGAUACGUUAUCUUAAAUUAAAAGGGAGCCUUUAAAGCUUCGCUUUGAGAUGAGCUUGCGGCGUAUUAGCUAGUUGGUGGGGUAAUGGCCUACCAAGGCAACGAUGCGUAGCCGACCUGAGAGGGUGAUCGGCCACAUUGGGACUGAGACACGGCCCAAACUCCUACGGGAGACAGCAGUUAGGAAUAUUCGUCAAUGGGGGAAACCCUGAACGAGCAAUGCCGCGUGAGUGAAGAAGGUCCUUUGGAUUGUAAAACUCUGUUGUUAGGGAAGAACGGCCUAUGUAGGAAAUGACAUAGGAGUGACGGUACCUUUCAAGAAAGCUCCGGCUAACUACGUGCCAGCGGCCGCGGUAAUACGUAGGGAGCGAGCGUUAUCCGGAAUUAUUGGGUGUAAAGGGUGCGUAGGCGGAAGAAUUAGUCUAAAGUCUAAGGUUGGAGCUCAACUCCAGUUUGCUUUAGAAACUGUUUUUCUUGAGUAUGGUAGAGGCAAGUGGAAUUUCUAGUGUAGCGGUAGAAUGCGUAGAUAUUAGAAGGAACACCAGUGGCGAAGGCGACUUGCUGGGCCAUCACUGACGCUGAGGCACGAAAGCGU
Molecule: ribosomal RNA, 800 nt
Filed under: uncultured bacterium
Lineage: Bacteria
Description: bacterial SSU rRNA
Rfam family: Bacterial small subunit ribosomal RNA
Source: RNAcentral